ACCUGACUGUCACCUGGAACAGAAACUGUGAAAAGGGCCUGGACCAGGCUGGGCUGGACACACAUGAUAUAUACACAAUAUCCUGAACUGUACUGAUCUUGGACUUUCUGUAUUCCUGUAACCAUCCUGCUGUUUGCAAAGAGCAAGGCCACGGCCUUAGGAGGGGGGUAAAUGCCAUUAAAGGAAAAUACCCACUGCCAGGCAUCCUGGGAGGAAGACUGUCCUGGGGCAGAAAUUGAGGACUCAAGACGGGGCCCUGGGAAUGACGCGGAAGUUUAUCUCUCUCUCUUUCUAUCUCUCUCUCUGUCUCUGUUUCUGUCUCUGUCUCUCUCCUCCUCCUCUCCCUGUUUUAAGAAAGUUGCGUCUGCCCUGUGAUGGAAGACAUGGUCCAAGCAAACCUUGGAGGUGGUGCUGGGCUGGGCCCUGCCAUGUGGAGCAAGCCAGGGCUGGCCAGGUGUUAUCUCCCAAGAGCACUGUCUGAUAAACCUUCUGCAGACAAUUCUCCAUCUCAGAGUCUGCUUUCAAGGAACCCAAACCAAGACAGUUUGGGCCAGAAGUGGUCCUGGGAAGCAGAAAUGGGAAUUUGGAGAGGGACCAUUUGCCAGCCAGGUAUCAGUGAAGACCCCAUAACUGGUAUAGAAGUAAGGGGAUGCGGGUUCGAUCCCUGGUCGGGGAACUAAGAUCCCACAUGCUGCGGGGCAACUAAGGCUGCACGCCACAACUAUCGAGCUUGCGUGCCUCAACUAGAGAGCCCGUGCGCUGCAAACUACAGAGGCCCUGCACUCUGGAGCCUGAGCGCCACAAGUAGAGAAAACCCGCACACCACAACUAGAGAGAAGCCCAAGCACCACAACGAAGAGACCGCGGGCACCGUAACAAAAAGAUCCCACAUGCCUCAACAAAGAUCCCGUGUGCUGCAACUGAGACCUGACGCAGCCAAAAAAAAAAAAAGGAAAAUUAAAUAAAUAAAUAUGAAAUUUAAAAAAAGAAGAACAAGUGGUGGAAGGACCACUGCCAGCACAGGUGAGUCUGAGCUUCCAUGUAGCUGUAUCACAGGUAAGUUGAGGGGAUAUGACAUAGGGCACUAGAGGUGUCUGCUCUAUCCCAUUUUACAGACGAGGCAACUAAGUAUCAGAAAGGUUAAAUAAGCUGACCGUUAACACAGAGCUGGCAAUUGGUGGGUUUGGAUUAAAAUCUACAUCUGUCUGACUUCAAAGCCUGUCUUCUCUAAUACCUGUGUUGAGUAGCUAAGGAGCCUGGAACAGAGAAAUUAAGUGGCCUCUUGCUGCAUUUUGGGUUCCCUGGGAAGCAGGCUCUGUGGCAGAGUGACGUGCAGGGAGUUGAUUGGGAAGUGCUUUCAGGAUUGGCACCCCACAGGGAGUGAAGAAGGCAGGACUGGGCAGAGAGAGAGGUUGGGCUGUGAUGCAUCACGUAGGCCUUGGACAGUCCCGCAGGUUGCUCUGGAGCUGGGGUGGCUCUUCAGGGUUGUGCCUGCUGCCAAGAGGGGGCCGAGCCUUUGUAAUCCUGUAUGGAGGCAGUCCUUGGGCUUGAGACAGGUGAUCCUUUUCAGCCAAGGGCAAUUCCUCCACGGGACUCAGCUGAGAGCCAUCAACUUUCAGCACUACCAGCUGCUGGGGGAAGCACAGCUUGAGCCCUGCAGAGGAGCUCUGGGUGAUUCACCACAAUAUCCACCACUUCUCUCCAGCCCACAGCUAGUGGCUGAGCAGGAACUUACACAUAGGUUCUCUGUCUCCAAACCUAACGAGGUUAGCCUUGUUUUUCCAGCUCCAUCACGUGCUCCCCUAUCUCAGAGUGCACGGGCAAGACCAUAGGCUCCAGCUGGGGAUCAUUGAGUGGCAAGAAAGGAAUCUCCAUCUGAGGAGAGACAAGAAAUUUCAUUCACUCAAAAAUAUUUACUGAGCGCUUACUAUAUUCCAAGCACUAAGUGUGUGAGAAAUGAGAAGGAAGUAAACAGAGGGCUUCCCUGGUGGCGCAAUGGUUAAGAAUCCACCUGCCAGUGCAGAGGGCACAGAUUCGAUCCCUGCUCCGGGAAGAUCCCACAUGCCGCGGAGCAGCUAAGCCCAUGCGCCACGACUACUGAGCCUGCGCUCUAGAGCCUGUGCUCCGCAACAAGAGAAGCCACUGCAAUAAGAAGCCCACGCACUGCA
This is a long non-coding RNA of Physeter macrocephalus (sperm whale), 2168 nucleotides long. RefSeq lists it as uncharacterized. Lineage: Eukaryota; Metazoa; Chordata; Mammalia; Artiodactyla; Physeteridae. The transcript has 3 exons. The record is from RefSeq and is a predicted model, not a curated record.